CCUACGGGUGGCAGCAGUGGGGAAUAUUGCACAAUGGGGGAAACCCUGAUGCAGCGACGCCGCGUGAGCGAUGAAGUAUUUCGGUAUGUAAAGCUCUAUCAGCAGGGAAGAAAAUGACGGUACCUGACUAAGAAGCCCCGGCUAACUACGUGCCAGCAGCCGCGGUAAUACGUAGGGGGCAAGCGUUAUCCGGAUUUACUGGGAGUAAAGGGCGCGUAGACGGGCCUGCAAGUCAGAUGUGAAAGCCCGGGGCUCAACCCCGGGACUGCAUUUGGAACUGUAAGGCUAGAGUGUAGGAGAGGCAGGCGGAAUUCCUGGUGUAGCGGUGAAAUGCGUAGAUAUUAGGAGGAACACCAGUGGCGAAGGCGACCUGCUGGACGAUGACUGACGUUGAGGCUCGAAAGCGUGGGUAGCAAACAGGAUUAGAUACCCGAGUAGUC
RNAcentral lists this ribosomal RNA (440 nucleotides) under uncultured bacterium. Its description in RNAcentral is "partial 16S ribosomal RNA". It matches the Rfam family "Bacterial small subunit ribosomal RNA", at positions 338 to 795 of the family's 1533-position model. The record is from RNAcentral.